Molecule: long non-coding RNA, 231 nt
Filed under: Elaeis guineensis (African oil palm)
Lineage: Eukaryota; Viridiplantae; Streptophyta; Magnoliopsida; Arecales; Arecaceae
Description: long non-coding RNA (EGUI_LNC024772)
Source: RNAcentral
GUGUUGCACGGUAAUAGGAUUAUUCCAUAGGAAAAGAAGAGGAUGAGAGGACAUUACUACCUGAUGGGGAGCCCAGUGUGAGGUGGAGUUUCAGGAGUGAGGUGGAGCUCAAAGCGAGGUGGAGCUCCAGGUGGAGGUGGAUUGGCACGAGAUGCAAGACUUGAGAAGAUGAGAGGCGAUAUUACAGGGUGAGAUUCCUAUUGCCGCAGGAUGAUAUCCCGAACAGGUCUC